RNAcentral lists this ribosomal RNA (253 nucleotides) under uncultured bacterium. RNAcentral's name for it is "partial 16S ribosomal RNA". It matches the Rfam family "Bacterial small subunit ribosomal RNA", at positions 524 to 776 of the family's 1533-position model. The record is from RNAcentral.
UACAGAGGUCUCAAGCGUUGUUCGGAUUCAUUGGGCGUAAAGAGCGCGCAGGCGGUCGAUCAAGUCGAGUGUGAAAGCCCCCGGCUCAACUGGGGAGGGUCAUUCGAAACUGAUCGACUUGAAGGCAGGAGAGGGUAGUGGAAUUCCCGGUGUAGUGGUGAAAUGCGUAGAUAUCGGGAGGAACACCAGUGGCGAAGGCGACUACCUGGCCUGUUCUUGACGCUGAGGCGCGAAAGCUAGGGGAGCAAACGGG